AGUCGAGCGAGACCUUCGGGUCUAGCGGCGGACGGGUUAGUAACGCGUGGGAACGUGCCCUUCUCUGCGGAAUAGCCACUGGAAACGGUGAGUAAUACCGCAUACGCCCUUCGGGGGAAAGAUUUAUCGGAGAAGGAUCGGCCCGCGUUAGAUUAGAUAGUUGGUGGGGUAACGGCCUACCAAGUCUACGAUCUAUAGCUGGUUUUAGAGGAUGAUCAGCAACACUGGGACUGAGACACGGCCCAGACUCCUACGGGAGGCAGCAGUGGGGAAUCUUAGACAAUGGGCGCAAGCCUGAUCUAGCCAUGCCGCGUGUGUGAUGAAGGUCUUAGGAUCGUAAAGCACUUUCGCCAGGGAUGAUAAUGACAGUACCUGGUAAAGAAACCCCGGCUAACUCCGUGCCAGCAGCCGCGGUAAUACGGAGGGGGUUAGCGUUGUUCGGAAUUACUGGGCGUAAAGCGCGCGUAGGCGGAUUGGAAAGUUGGGGGUGAAAUCCCGGGGCUCAACCCCGGAACUGCCUCCAAAACUAUCAGUCUAGAGUUCGAGAGAGGUGAGUGGAAUUCCAAGUGUAGAGGUGAAAUUCGUAGAUAUUUGGAGGAACACCAGUGGCGAAGGCGGCUCACUGGCUCGAUACUGACGCUGAGGUGCGAAAGUGUGGGGAGCAAACAGGAUUAGAUACCCUGGUAGUCCACACCGUAAACGAUGAAUGCCAGUCGUCGGGCAGUAUACUGUUCGGUGACACACCUAACGGAUUAAGCAUUCCGCCUGGGGAGUACGGUCGCA
Molecule: ribosomal RNA, 783 nt
Filed under: bacterium LFT14
Lineage: Bacteria
Description: bacterial SSU rRNA
Rfam family: Bacterial small subunit ribosomal RNA
Source: RNAcentral